AUUGAACGCUGGCGGCAGGCCUAACACAUGCAAGUCGAACGAGUGGCGGACGGGUGAGUAAUGUCUGGGAAACUGCCCGAUGGAGGGGGAUAACUACUGGAAACGGUAGCUAAUACCGCGUACCAUCGGAUGUGCCCAGAUGGGAUUAGCUUGUAGGUGAGGUAACGGCUCACCUAGGCGACGAUCCCUAGCUUGUCUGAGAGGAUGACCAGCGGCACUGGAACUAGGGCACAGUCCAGACUCCCACGGGGGGCAGCAGUGGGGAAUAUGGCACAGUGGGAGCAAGGCUGCUGCAGCCGUGGCGGGGGUAUGAAGAAGGCCUUCAGGUUGUAAAGUACUUUCAGCGGGGAGGCGUUGCGCGCGGAAGAAGCACCUGCUAACUCCGGGCCAACAGCCGCGGUAAUGC
This 406-nucleotide ribosomal RNA is filed under the name uncultured bacterium. RNAcentral's name for it is "partial 16S ribosomal RNA". It matches the Rfam family "Bacterial small subunit ribosomal RNA", at positions 29 to 526 of the family's 1533-position model. The record is from RNAcentral.